CAGAGCUCCCGUUGCCAAGCGUGUCGAUGUGGCGGGAGGGGUUACUUUCUCGGGCUGUGCCACUCACUAUAUCGCCAGCGUUGUAGCUAGGGACUGGGACACAUGGAGACAUGGUUUAUACGUACCAAAAGCUCGAAGUUAUGGGUGCAAGCACUGGAUCUUUGUUUUUUUCUUUCAUUUAUGUCCUUAAAAUUUGAUGAUCACCGUGUUUUUUCGCAAAUGAUUGCAUGGCUCCUUUUGAACAGAACCUGUGUUUCAAGUCCUAUCUAUGUGGUGACGUGCCAAAGAAAGGUUGUUUGUGUGGCUUUAGUGAACGGGCAAAGAAGAUAGAAUUUGUACAACAAUGGUACUCCAUCCGUUCCGAAUUACUUGUCUUGGAUUUGUCUAGAUACGGAUGUAUCUAGACACCUCCGUAUCUAAACAAAUCUAAGACAAGUAAUUCGGAACGGAGGGAGUAGAUGUAGAAGCNNNNNNNNNNNNNNNNNNNNNNNNNNNNNNNNNNNNNNNNNNNNNNNNNNNNNNNNNNNNNNNNNNNNNNNNNNNNNNNNNNNNNNNNNNNNNNNNNNNNNNNNNNNNNNNNNNNNNNNNNNNNNNNNNNNNNNNNNNNNNNNNNNNNNNNNNNNNNNNNNNNNNNNNNNNNNNNNNNNNNNNNNNNNNNNNNNNNNNNNNNNNNNNNNNNNNNNNNNNNNNNNNNNNNNNNNNNNNNNNNNNNNNNNNNNNNNNNNNNNNNNNNNNNNNNNNNNNNNNNNNNNNNNNNNNNNNNNNNNNNNNNNAUCAGUUAAUGUGCAUUUAAUUAAUUGGCGCCGAAGGUGCUCCAACUUGGCCGGCCCAUCUAAGGGUGCAAUGAGAGAGAGCUCUUCCAGGUUUUAGGAAGCUUUCUAGCUUUUUUUUUUCAUUUUUCGAUUUGGUUAUUUCUGGUUUGUUUGGUUUAUUUCAUUUAUUUUUCUUUACCUUUUUUUUUCUAGGUUCCUUUUCCUUUCUUUUAUUUUUAUUUUUUAAAUGCACAAUACAUCGGAAGAUAUAAUUUUUUAUAAGAUAUUUGAAAUCACUCCCAUAUUAUGUAGACACUUUAAUGUACUCCAUACACGUUCCGUAGAAACAUGUUGGAUACUGGAACUCGAAUCCACAGAGGUUACUCGAUUCACAUCCGUUUUAGCAUUCCAGAACUGCUCGUGGAAAACAGAAACAAAAGAUAACUUAAAAGAAAAGGAAAAUUAAAGUAUUAAAUAUUACGAUAAAACAUUCAUUAAAUUAAAAAAAUAUUCAUAAAAUUGGAAAAAGUUCCUGGAGUUAGUAAAAGUUCACAAGUUACAAAAAUAAGUCAUACAUUUUUAACUAUUACGAAUACAAAAAUAGCUUUAAAAUUUGAUGAUUUUUUUCUGAGUGAUCAACUUUUUUUCAAAUAAUGAACUUUUUCCAAAUUUGAAAAACUUUUUUUCAGAAACGAUGAUUUUUUUCAAAAUUGGCAAACUUUUUCGAAUUUUGACAAUUUUUCUUUCAAAAUUGAUGAACUUUUGUUUUUAAAUGGAUGAACUUUUUUCAUAUUUACAAACUUUUCCCAAAUUGGACAUUUCUUUUCUGAAUUUGUGGACUUUUGAAUUUCAUGAUCUUUUUUUGAAUCUAUGAACCUUUUCGAUUUCACGAUAUUUUUUCAAUUUCGUGAACCUGUUUGAAUAAGUCAACUAGCCAAAUGGUGCGUGUCAUCUGGUGAACAAGUUGACUGCAUGGAACCUGUUCAAAAUGACCGAGUGAACGGGGACGACUACGUGAACGAAUGUGCAUGACUGAGUGAUCAAGGCAAGAAAGCUGGUGUUGUUUAGGCCGGCCUAGACGAUCUGCCACAUGAGCGCCAAUUGGGCAAACGGGCGCCUAAGGCGCUGACUAGGGCUCUCCCUCGGUGAAUGUUUCCCCCGUUCACCAGUGGGCAGGGCCAUGGUGACCCCCAGUUGGCCCAAAGCCCCACUAAAUAGUUUUUUUGAGAAAAAUACAAUGACAGAAAAAAAAAUGCCAUAAUAGUUGCCAUGCUCCUAGUCAUCACCUAAAAAAAUUGUGUGCACAAAGGUGGCAGUCAAAAAAAUGCCACCUCUCAAUAUUAAAAAUGUCUCACCUCUUCAAAUAAUAAACAUGCUCAUCCUAUUGUUAAAAAACAUGACAUGCUCUUAUAAUAAAAUUGCCAUUCUCUGCCAUCCUUUUAUAAUUAAAAAAUACCAUCCUGUUAUCUUACAAGUAAAAAAUGGCAUCCUCAUAUAAUAAAAAUGUCCUAUCUUAAAUAAUACAAAUGCCAUCCGCACAAUAAAAAAUGCCAUCCUAUUAUAAAAAAUGGCGUGCUCUUGUAAAAUAAAACUGUCAUCCUCUUAUAAUAAAAAAAAAUACCAUCCUCUUAUUAUAAAAAAAUACCAUCCUCUUAAAAAAGAAAAAUGAAAUCCACUUAUAAUAAAACCGCCCUGUGAGAAUGUAUAAGAGAAAUUGGGAUUUUAGGUCGAUCACCAUCCUCGCGCGCCUCCGGCCAUCCGACAUAGCUUUCCCCUGCAUUGUAAAAAAUAGAAUUAUUGGCUGUGCAAGGAAAGAUAAGCGGGGACUGUACGAAGACAAGAUGCAUGGGUGGCUGCCGACAGAGGAAUGGGUGGAGGCCUCGUCGAGGAAGACGAUCCUAGCGCGCGUGACAAUGUAGCGUCCACAAGCACGACCGAGAACAAGGAGGACAUAGACUACGAGCCGACGGAAGUGCACGUGCAGCCAUGCGGCAAGAAAUGUGAAGAGGAAGGGGUUGUCUUGGAUGGGAGGCUAUCUCCUUAAAUUACCCUCACAUGACAUGUACUGCUUCUGCUUGACGAGGAGCGGCCAGGACAACUGAUACUACUGGCGAUAAUCCUCACACAACUGAGCAGUAUAGGUCGAUCACCAUCCUUCGAUUUUGAUAAUAGACGGCACAUUUUCAUUACCGGGUACAGUAAAAAAGCUCUACCCCAAUAAGAUUUUUACCCGCAGGGUACGUCGGUACCAUUAGAGCAACUCCAAUGGGGCAACCCAUUUCGUCCGUAGCCGUCCGUUUGGGUCGGCGCAAACAAAGAAGACGGCCCAACGCGCCGACCCAAAUGGACGCGUGUCCGCUUGGCGUUCGCAUGGGGAUCCAAUCCCGACCCAUUUUUGAGCCGGACUUGCGUCCGCGAGGACACGAGACAGACGCGCGCGCGCGCCUACUCCUCUCCCCGGGCCCGUCGGUCGGUGGCAGCCACCACCAUUUCCCCCCAUUUUACCCAAAAACACCCCCGCACGCGCGCGCUCGCUCCCGCCCCAACCAGCCAUGGACGACGCCAUCGACCUCGACCCCGCCGCCUCCCUCGCCUCCCUCGCCUCGUCCGGCGUCGCCGCCGCCGCCUGGAAAGGCAAGCCUCAUGCCCCGCGCAAGACGGCCGCUGAGGUAGUCCUGGAUUUAGGGGUCCUCGGACAGACGGACUAUAUACAUGGGCCGGACUGUUGGGCUAUGAAGAUACAAGAUAGAAGACUUCGUCCCGUGUCCGGAUGGGACUCUCCUUUGCGUGGAAGGCAAGCUUGGCGAUUCGGAUAUGUAGAUCCCUUUCUCUGUAAUCGACUCUUUAUAACCCUAGCCCCCUCCGGCGUCUAUAUAAACUGGAGGGUUUAGUCCGUAGGACAAGAACAACAAUCAUAAUUAUAGGCUAGCUUUUAGGGUUAGCCAUUACGAUCUCGUGGUAGAUCAACUCUUGUAAUACUCAUAUUCAUCAAGAUCAAUCAAGCGGGAAGUAGGGUAUUACCUACAUAGAGAGGGCCCGAACCAGGGUAAACAUUGUGUCCCCCGCCUCCUGUUACCGCCUUAGACGCACAGUUCGGGACCCCCUAGCCGAGAUCCGCCGGUUUUGACACCGACAUUGGUGCUUUCGUUGAGAGUUCCACUGUGACGUUGAAGAUAGGUGAGGGAGUCCCGGACUAGGGGGUCCGGAUAGCCGAACUAUCAUCAUCGGCCGGACUCCAAGACUAUGAAGAUACAAGAUUGAAGACUUCGUCCCGUGUCCGGAUGAGACUUUCCUUGGCGUGGAAGGCAAGCUUGGCGAUACGGAUAUGUAGAUCUCCUACCAAUGUAACCGACUCUGUGUAACCCUAGCCCUCUCCGGUGUCUAUAUAAAUCGGAUGUCUUUAGUCCAUAGGACGAACAACAAUCAUACCAUAGGCUAGCUUCUAGGGUUUAGCCUCCUUGAUCUCGUGGUAGAUCUACUCUUGUAACCCACAUCAUCAAUAUUAAUCAAGCAGGACGUAGGGUUUUACCUCCAUCAAGAGGGCCCGAACCUGGGUAAAAACAUCGUGUCCCUCGUCUCCUGUUACCAUCCGCCCAGACGCACAGUUCGGGACCCCCUACCCGAGAUCCGCCGGUUUUGACACCGACAUUGGUGCUUUCAUUGAGAGUUCCUCUGUGCCGUCGCGAUCAGGAAGGAUGCCUUCUCCCGUCUUUAAAGACGGCACCGUCGUCAAGAGAGCUUUGGCCGCCGGCCAAAUUGUCCGGCUAGGUGGUUUAAUUAUGACCGCCUGUUCGGCCACCACUCCGACGAUGACCUCUCAGGUCAUCAAAAGCGAUCUUCAUGUCAGCCCAGAAUUCGCCGAGCAGUUAGAUCCGAUUGAGCUCUCUUCUGUAAACGAGCUCUUGGAUCGCAUCGCUGCCCUGGGAGUCGCUACAGACUACGAUCAGAUUGGGCUUAAACCCGGUCUGAGAGAGAUUAACUCUCCUCAGGCCACCCACCACUUUGUCGUGGUAGAGGAACAAUGCGGCAACCCUUCUUCUACGUUGAAAACCAACUAUGUCUGGAUUCCCGAUCCCUCCAAGCCGGAUUCCCGCGAAGGGACGGACGCUAAUCAAAUACUGAACUUAGAGUCAGGCAUCGGACUAGAUUCGUUGAAAAGCAUCCAGCAAGUCAAGCUUCCAAAUCCGGAAACUUCUUGGCCUUUGAGCCUCAGAUCGGGCGGGGUUCCAAACUUGAUUCCACCCGCCCACCCAAACAUAAGCGAUCUAUCUCGAAUACGGCAAGAGCCCGAUGAAAUAGUACAUCAUUACUGGGCCAGAUUCCUCCUGGUUAUGAACAGGAUAAAGGACUGCUGCGAAGAAAGCGCGAUUUCAAUUUUCUGCAACAAUUGCACGGACAAGGGAAUCAUGAACGCCAUAAGUCGUCGCGAAGUUACACGCUUCAUCGACCUAGCGACUAUCGUACAAAAAUACUGUGCGGUAGAGAGUGCCAGGAACACCGAAACUAGGUUUUGGGACAGUCCGGCCUUGACCACAACCCUAGUCCGAAGUAAAAGGAUGCGCCAUACUCAAGCACCUAGGUUAAAAACCAAAAAGCAAAGACCCCCUAAAGGGCAUGGAACCGUACUGGAGGGCUGGCUCAACGGACCCUGCAAAAUCCACAGUACGGAGGGCGCCACUCCAACACACAGCCUUCGAGCAUGUUGGAUACUACGACAGGUGGCCAAAAGUGGCGAAGGCUUUUUAGCCCCGGGCAAAUAGCCCAGCAGUACCGGUACGGUAUUAACAGUCUUCGAGACUUUCGCAUCAAAUAACAUGCGAAAACGAACAAUCCGCGGCCUCGCCGAAGUCUACCAAGUAGCAACAGCAAAUCCAUGGAGUGACACGGCUAUCACCUUCAACGCCAGCGACGGACCUAAAUUCCGAACAGCUAGAGCACCAGCCGCAUUGGUCCUCAGUCCGAUAGUGGACGGCUUUCGCCUUACCAAGGUACUCAUGGAUGGUGGCAACGGAUUAAACCUCAUCUACGAGGAAACCCUUCAAAAAAUGGAUAUUGACUGGAGCCGCAUCGAGCGAAGCAGCACAACCUUCAGAGGGAUAAUCCCUAGUCGAGAAGUACGCUGCACAGGAAAAAUCACACUAGAUGUAGUGUUCGGCUCACCGGACAAUUAUAGGUUCGAGGAGGUCACGUUCCAAGUGGCCCCAUUCGGCAGCGGAUAUCACGCUUUGUUAGGGCGAGAAGCAUUCACAAUCUUCCAAGCUAUACCCCACUACGGGUACAUGAAGCUCAAAAUGCCCGGACCCAAUGGGAUAAUCACUCUUGCCAGUGAUCCAGAUACAACACUCCGCGCUGAAAAUAAGACAGCCGCACUGGCCCUAGAGGCAUUGUCCAAAGCCCUAGCGGCAGAGGAACUAACUCCGCUGCGCUCCACGAUAGAUAGGGACGAUGUGAUACUCGAUAAGAGGUCCAAGUCCACCUCUUUUAAACCAACAGACAAAAUAGUCAAAUUUCAGGUCCAUCCAACGGACCCCACAAAGACGGCCUCCAUUGGGGCACAAUUAAGUCCUGAUGUCGAAGCCGCACUAUGAGAAUUCCUUCGGGAAAAUUGGGACAUUUUUGCCUGGCACCCUUCAGACAUGCCAGGAAUCCCACGCAGGCUGGCAGAGCACAGCCUAAACAUCCUAAAAGGAUUCAAGUCGGUCAAACGAGCUCUUCGGCGAUUCUCCGAACCCAAAAGACAGGCAAUGGGAGAAGAGCUAGCCAAACUCUUAGAAGCCAGAUUCAUCAGAGAUAUAAAACAUCCGGACUGGCUAGCCAAUCUAGUAAUGGUACCAAAAAGGACAAAUUCUGGCGCCUCUGCGUCGAUUUUAAAGACCUUAACAAGGCCUGUCCAAAGGACCCUUUCCCCCUCCCUCGCAUCGACCAAAUCAUCCAUGCUACCGCAGGGCACGAUUCAUUGUGCUUCCUCGACGCAUACUCCGGAUACCAUCAAAUCAAGAUGGUGGAGAAAGACCAGGCCGCAACGGCAUUCAUUACUCCAUAUGGGCCAUUCUGCUUCAACACAAUGCCCUUCGGACUCAAAAACACCGGCGCAACAUAUCAGCGCAUGGUUCAAACAUGUCUGGCUACCCAGAUAGGCAAAACAGUAGAGGCAUACGUAGACGAUGUGGUCGUCAAGACCAAACACGUCGAAACUCUAGUAGAAGACUUGAGGGUGACAUUCGACAACCUCCGAGCAUAUGACAUUAAGCUCAAUCCGGAAAAAUGCGUCUUCGGCGUACCAGCCGGAAAGCUCUUGGGCUCCAUCGUAUCCGGUAGAGGAAUUGAAGCAAACCCGGCCAAAAUCCGAGCUCUGUCACAAUUGGAUAUUCCAAAAGACCUCAAGCAAAUACAAAAACUAACCGGAUGCGUAGCGGCCUUAAGUCGCAUCAUCUCCCGUUUGGGAGAAAAGGCUCUGCCCCUCUACUGCCUCCUCCGGCGCACCAAACAUUUCGAAUGGACGGAUGCUGCCACAGCCAGACUCGAAGAAAUAAAGGCCAUACUAGCAACAAAUCCGGUCCUGGCCGCGCCCAACCUGGGCGAACCUAUGUUAUUAUAUAUCGCAGCAACACAUCAAGUUGUCAGCGCGGUGCUCGUCGUCGAGCGAGAGACAGAAGGGCACAGAUUCCCUCUUCAAAAACCAGUGUACUACGUAUCCACUGUUCUAACUCCAUGCAAGUCCCGGUACCCACAUUAUCAAAAGAUAGCAUAUGCGGUGUUCAUGGCAUCCCGGAAGCUGCGACACUACUUUCAAGAGUGUUCCAUAACGGUGGCCUCCGAAGUACCUCUCAACGAUAUUAUAAACAAUCGCGACGGAACGGGCAGGAUUGCAAAAUGGGCUAUUGAGCUCUUACCAUUUGACAUAACCUAUAAACCACAGCGAGCUAUAAAGUCGCAGGUUCUGGCCGACUUCGUCGCCGAAUGGACCGAAGCCGAACUCCCUAAAGAGUACGGCGCAUACUCCAAUUGGAUCAUGCAUUUCGACGGAUCCAAAAUGUUGGCUGGCUUGGGGGCUGGCGUCGUCCUGACGUCCCCAACUGGAGACACAAUCCAAUACGUACUUCAAAUAAUGUACAUGGACUCCAAUAACGCAGCCGAAUACGAGGCCCUUCUACAUGGCCUCCGGAUGGCAAUCUUCAUGGGCAUUCAAUGCCUAGAGGUGCGCGGGGAUUCAAACCUUGCAAUAUCCCAAGUAAAUGGAGACUUUGAUGCCAAAGAUCCAAAAAUGGCAGCUUAUCGCAACGCCAUCCUAAAAAUGUCAGCUCGGUUCGAAGGACUCGAAUUCCACCAUGUAGCCCGGGAUAAUAACCAGGCAGCAGACGUGUUAGCAUGCAUCAGCGUGAAACGAGACGCCGUCCCUCCAAACAUCUUCCUGGAACGGCUCUUCAAGCCAUCCGUGUUAUGGGAAGAGGAGUCCGGAAAUAACAAUCCGGAGCCAGCUGCAUCACCGAACUCAGACCAUUCUGACACAAUCGACGGCUCAGCCAACGAAAUAACACCAUCAGCUCACGAAAUAAUGGCAGUAAUUGCCCCAUGGACAGAACCAUUCCUAGCCUACUUAAUUCGGCAGGAACUUCCCGAAGACCAAAAUGAGGCCUGCUACAUAGUUCAGCGAUCUAAAGCCUACAAGGUCCAUGAGGGAGAACUUUAUAAGAAAAGCACAACCGGAGUCCUUCAAAGGUGUAUCUCCGAAGAAGACGGGCGGGAUCUCCUGGCUGAAAUUCAUGCCGGACUCGGCGGGCACCACGCUGCAGCCCGGGCACUCGUAGGCAAGGCCUUCCGUACAGGAUUUUAUUGGCCGACAGCCCGGGCAGAUGCUCAGGACUUAGUCCAACGAUGCGUCGGUUGCCAGCUCUUUGCUAAUCAGAGCCACAUGCCACCCACCGCCCUCAAAACUAUACCCAUUACCUGGCCGUUCGCGGUCUGGGGGCUUCACAUGGUUGGACCCUUUAAAGGGGGAACCCACAAGCACAAAUACUUAUCGGUCAUGGUGGACAAAUUCACCAAAUGGAUUGAGGCCAAGCCGGUUAAAACGGCAGAAUCCGGACCGGUGAUAGACUUCCUAUCCGGGGUAGUACACCGUUUUGGCGUUCCCCACAGCAUCAUCACUGAUAACGGCACGAACUUCACUGCCGACGAGGUUAAACUCUGGUGCAAAAAUAUGGGCAUCAAGCUCGAUUACGCUUCAGUCUAUCACCCCCAAACUAACGGUCAGGUCGAGCGGGCAAAUGGUCUAAUCAUGAGCGGCAUCAAACCCAGACUAGUGCGGUCCCUCAAGGAAUCUAACACGCACUGGUAGAGGAGCUCGACUCCAUACUCUGGGGGCUGCGGACCACGCCAAACCGAACUACUGGAUUCACACCAUUUUUCAUGGUGUACGGCGCAGAGGCAGUUCUGCCUUGCGAUAUAAUUCAUGACUCACCUCGUGUGCGCAUGUACGAAGAAAGAGAAGUCGAGUUGGAUCGGCAGGACAGUUUGGAUGCCUUAGAGGAGGAGCGGGACGUGGCAAAGGCUCGUUCCGCAUUCUAUCAGCAGCAGGCUCGAAGAUAUCAAAGCAGAGAAGUACGGGCCAAAACUUAUAAUGUCGGCGAACUCGUUCUACGCCUGCCGGACAAGAAAAAGGACAAACUUAAGCCCAAGUGGGAAGGUCCCUUCAUCAUCGAUCAAGUCCUGACCGGCGGAGCAUACCGUCUACGUAAAGCAUCUGAUAACCGACUCGAGCCGAACCCAUGGAACGCAGCCCGUCUCCGAAGAUUCUACGCCUAAACACUGGACUCAGAGUUCGUCUCACUCCCCCGUCCACCUUUUUAUAUUUUUUACUGUCUCUUGUCCCCCUCCUUCUUCCCACUUUUUUUUAAAUACCUUUUAUAGGCUGAUUUGCGCUUUGUUCGCACACACUUGAUGUGCUCCUAGCACUCAUUAUACCUGGGGACUUCUUUACCAGAAGCUUAUUAAUAUGGGCUUCACGCCCAACACAUGUGUCAUACUUCUGCAUGCACCUUUUAUUCACCAUUAUAUGCAUCGAUAUGACUUAAGUUUUGGCCAAGCUGGGUUGCCUGGCUCCUGUGCUUACCCCUACGUUCCCGAUUGUUCGGCUAGGAGGUAAAGGGAGCACCUCUGCGAUUGUUACUGCCGGGUCAGCCGAAUGUGUACCUCAGACUGGGUGAAGCCGAAAGCUAGCGUUCUUAAGAGAAUAUUCGGUCGGUGACACUACAAGGAUCUGGGUCUAUUGCAACAAAAUCGUUCGUUGCAAUACAUAACGAUUUGUGGUGAUAAGUACCUAUUGCCACAAAACGACUUUCGUUGGCAGCCGUUGCGACUAGACACAUGGUAAUAGGUUGUUGCCACAAAAAAGAAAAUGUGGCAAUAAAGUGCGCUAUUGCAACAACCAUGUGGGAAAGCCGCCGCAUGGUUUUCCGCGGCAACACUCACCUGAUGCCACAAUUUGGUUUGUGGAGAUAGCUUUAAUGCAACAUGUAACUAAUCGUGGCGACUAAUAGCUCGUGGCGAUAGACAUUUGUGGCAACAAUCUAUUCCAACGACGCUUGUUUCGUAGCGCAUACUCUUCCGUGGCAAUAGUCAAUUGUGGCAACAAUCUAUGGCAACAAUCCUUGUUUUCGUGGUAGCAGGCAUUUUGCCACGAACCGCUACACUUGUGGCGCUAACUUAUGGCAACAAAUAUUUCAGUUGUCGAAACAAGAAAUUGCAACACAAUCGUUUUGAUGUGAUAAAUAGGUAUCACAACGAGUAAACUAUUCAUGGCAAAAAACUAUUGCGACAAUUUAAAAUUUUUGUGACGAUACUCUAUUUCAACAAAACUUAGUUUGGUAGCACCAAAUAGUUAUCACAACGGUCAAAAUGCUUGUAGCGAGAAGCUACUGUAACAAUGCCAACUUUUCGUGGCGAUACUCUAUUUCAACCAAAAGUUGGUUGUGGUAAUAGCCCAUUGCAACCGUAAAAAAAUACAGGCAUUCAAUAACAAUAUUCCAAACCAUACAUAUAAUAUGUACAUUCAUAAAUUCAUAAUUCUCAUAGCAAAUAUCCAUCAAAUGAAACUCAGAUGUAAUUUAGCCAUCCUAAUUAAGUGCCAAACUAAAUUGUCCAUGAUCUAGAGUCCAGUCCAGCUAGUUCUUUGAAUCCUGCAAUCAAGAAAACAAAAAAAAUAGUUCUAGUUAAUGAGUCCAAAUAACUUAUGCCGUACAAUUAUUCCAACCCCAUUGUUAACAAAAAUGUCGUCAGACUAACUGAAGUAACACUGUCUCAGCAAGCAUAUGACUGAGCAAUCAGAACAAUUUUACAAGUGCAAAUGUCUAAAGCAUAAGUACUAAAAGCUUCCGAUGUGACUGAAGUUGUGAUUUGAUGUAUAGUUUCAGUUAAGUUCUUGUCCCUAGCUAGCACAUAUUCAUUUUUUGAAGUUGUCCCUUGAUGCAGCAACAACACAUGGUGAAAAAGAAGCAGCAACUAGCUAAUUAUGAAGGCCAAUGACGUAUAAAAUGCAGGUGAACAUGAAGAGAAAGCAAGGCUGUGACUUACCAUUGCUUUAAACAUUCGAGAAUUCCUCGUUGCAACUUGUAUGAGAGCAUUUGAAGAAAUAACAGUUGUCCUUGCAACUGGGGUCUUAUUAGGAGUAGAUCUAUGUAAAAGAGUAUUUUGCAAGUUUGGAUACUAUUUUCUUUGUUAAUCCUCUUCGUUAGCACCUGAAAAUAGAAGUGCACUUUUAGCAAUGCAAUUAAGCAACAUAAAUCUUACAAGGUCGCAAGCAUAUGAAUGUAAUCAUCUGUUGGGUUCCCAUCUGUUGGCUCAAUUUUGUAAACUUUGCCAUCAUGUUUUUUUUUUCAAAUUCUAGUCUUGAUCUUCGCUCCUCUUCUCUGGUUUCCAAGUCUCUCUGCAAAUAGUAUAACAAUGAGAUGCUUGACACAUGGAAGUACAGUUAGCAUCGAAGCAUGCAUAUUUAGUUAGACUCGUACCUUCUCAAAAACUUAUUUGUGAGUAUGAUUUACUCGAGUUCCUGUAUAAGGAUUAAUGGUUUUGAUGAUUAAGCAAUCAAGGAUUUUAUGCAUAAUAGCAAAUGUUAGAGAUAGCUUAAAUGUCAUAAUUGUUUUACCAGAUCUGUGUUGUCCACGUUGGUUUUUGUAAGCUGUUAUACUUUCCAUCCUUGUUUUUUUUUGGCAAAUACUUUCCAUCCUUGUUACGGAGCAAAUCCUUUCUUUACUGAACACAAAAACAAUUAAGGGACUUAGCAUUAUCAAUAUGCACCAUUCAGAUAAGUCAUUAAGAAUUAAGGAUGUUGUGUACCUUGCAGAAAGGAGUAAUGUGCAUCAUCUCUUUCCUCUGAAGCGUGCACAUUACCUGACGCGUCCCUAGCUAUCGAAGUGAACAUAAAUAUUAUUAUCAAGUUGCCGUGUAUUGUACUCGGUCUGCUAUUAGCAGGAUCUUGCGUUGAAUUCAUCACCGUGCCCUUCUAUAAGUAAUAUCAUAAUUUCAGUCAAUUUCAGAAGAAAUGGGGUACUUAAAGCAGGCAUAAAAAAGUGACCAGAAAAAUAUCUAUUCAAGUCUAUACUGAAGCUGUUGUAAGCAAAAAUAAGCUAGGCUUUAGAGAUUAAAUGAAAUCAAAUGUAGCCUGAAUGUGGUAAGCAAACUACCAAGGUCAAAUACGCUGAAUGUGGCAGUAUGGUUCAGUAUAGGACAGUGGUUCCGAUAUUAACUUGGUAAUAUUUUACAUAGUCAAAAAGAAAACUUGGGACUAUUUACACAAAACGUGGGACACUCCAAAAUACAAAAAUACAGGAGUUGUGGUCGUGGUCGCAGCCGCCAUGGCCAGGGACGAAGCUAGACAAAAACUACUAUAGUGUCAGCCUUCAUUGCAAAGGGGUCAGCAUACGUAUAUGGACAGUAAUUAACACAAAUUUAUGAAGAAAUUGCAAGAUAUGACUUGUGUCAGUUGACACCAGUCCCUGGCCAUGGCAUACACCCACAUAGGGCAACUUGACAGGGAAACAUCAAUACAUUCGUACGAAAUAACACUAUUUAGUGCAGCCGAUGAUGUUUGUCUACUUCUCUCAGUCAUAGAAAGACACAAACUACUGCAGUACAUGUACAGCCGAGGAUCACUAGCCAGUGUACAGAAAGAAACGAGAUUCAGUAAACGCAACGUUUCAGUUACAGAAAGACACAAGAUUCAGUAAACUCAACGUUUCAGUUACAGAAAGAAACAAACUACCAGUGUAUGUGCAGCACAAGCAAGACAUCUUCAGUAUCCUGGUAAGUUAAUUUUAUAAAUAGCAUUCUUUCCUGUUCCAUGAAUGCUAUUGAACAUUACCCAUGGAAUAUUACUAUUGGACAAUACCCAUGGAAGAGUACAGCAACAAGCCAACAACACUAGUAGAAAUUCAACUUCAAGCCAAGUAUAUCUAUAUAUCUACAAGCGUAGCAGUAAUUGUAAAGCAUCAAGCAAGUAUGUUGGUGAGGAUCUUGGAUCCUUUCACUUGUAGUUGCAGUGACAUCUUCAGAUCUUAGGUUCUUGCAGGAGAGGAAAGGGAGCUGUGAGGAUGCAGACCAUGCGGAAAUGGACGGCGACGAAACGAUAACUUCGAUGGCAAGGGAAGCGACGGAGGAACAUCCUCUUCAAUGCGUGAGGGAGUGGCUAUGGUCGCCGUGGACGGCAUUGACAGUGAGGAGUGCUGCACGGCGGUUGCAUCCUGGGAGUUGUUGUAGUAGGAAGGCCAGGCAGGCAAUUGCAUCCCGGCGGCUAUGCCAGAGGCGAGGGUGAGGAGUGUUGCACGGCGGCCGUCCGCGUGGUUGUUCUACGAUGGAAAGGGGGCGCUGCUAUGGCCAUACCACCCACCGCCUCCGCUGCCCCUCCCCCUCGUCUCCCCAUGACCGCCCCCACCCCCACCGCCUCCGCCUCCGCCUCCGCCUCCUCCUGACCGUCGCCACCACCACCAAUUUCUGCAGCCCCGCGCGCAUCCGCUUCGUCUCUCGCCCCGCCCCUUCCCAACGGAACCCCCUCCCGGCCUCCUCCUCGUCCUCCUUCGAGAGCGCCCCCGAUGUCGCCGGCGAGGACACUGGACACCUACGAACGGAAGGAUCUAAUGACCGCAGGGGGCAGGGAGGUGGAAGAGGGCCAGGACGAGCAGUGCGCGUUCGAGAUGGAGGUGCGGAAACUGUCGGGGAAGAACCGAAGAAGAACCGGCGGCUGGUGCGCGCGCGGGUGCGGGUCGGCGCUCCGCUCGACGUCGUCUGGGCCAUGCUCACCAACCACGAGGGCCUCGGCGGCUUCAUCCCCGGCCUCUCCUAGUGCCGCCGAGGACGCAGCCUUCGCCCGACUCUAGGCGCUGCGCUGCACGGAGGAGAUUUGGGAGAAAGGAAUAACCUGAGGCAGUGUAUGUUCGAUGGACUCCGGUGUGGUCUGCAGUGUCGACGCCGUCAUGACGCCGUGAGGACGGAGGAACCAGGACGAGAGAGCUCAGAUCCGAUCUACGAUUUGGUGAAGAGAAAUAAUCAGGAAAAUCUGUGAGGGGUGUUUAACGGGGAGGUUAAGAAUUGUGGCGGUAGAGACGACCAAAUUAUUUGGUGGAAAAUUAAAAAAAUGGAGGGAGACUGAAGGCUUUAGCGGGAAGGUUAAAAAUUACUUCCCUAAAGCAGAGUACACGUUUAAUUAUUUGUUUGGAAAGUAGUGUUUUAAGGAAACAUUUAGAAUAAUGAAAUAAAUUGGAAAAAAAAUCAAAUCAAUAUGGAAUAUAUCUGCUGCUGAAAAUAAUAUUACUAAAAUUUGUUUGUAAAUUUUUUUUCGCUGACUGGCCGAGAUAGAUGUUCGCGUCGUUGCGAAUCGUACAUGAUGGCGUGCUGGCGGGGAGAGUAUGUAGUCGACACAGGAACAACAGCCGAGACGGCGAGGGUAAUGGAGAUGGUGUGUGCUGCACUCAUUGGUAGAAAUCGUAUGUCACCCUCGCUUUACUCUUGCCUUGAACAUGAGUAGAUAUGGGGUGAUGAGACGGUCGAUCUAUGCCGGUCCCGAUCUAACAGUUCGAUCUUGUGAUGGGGUGGUAGGACGGGAGAUGGCAAAGAACACGAAGGACGUGAUGGAAAAUGCGCAUGCACACACAUGCAAUAAACCCCCAAUGGAUCGACUGCUUUCUUCUUACCGGUCGAUCCGCAGAUCCAAUAGAAUCGAAUCCGAAGAAGACCCAGCUACGCAUGGAAAUACCUACACCAAGAACAUUAUAAAUCAUCUCCAUCGAAGUCUUGUGGUUUCCACACGUAUUGGGGGGGGAUAGAGCCAGAACUCAUCUAUCUCCUCAUCAUCGUCUCUGUCCCAGAUCAACAAGUAGUUUAUACACAUAUAUAGGGAAUCAUCAUGUUAAUCAUACAACCAAAAAUCAAAUGCCAUCACAUAUAUUCGGCAUUUUCCAACUACCAAACCCUAGCUAACCGUAACAGGCGAUCCCAGGCUACCAACUCACCGGGGCUUACAGUGCAAACUCAAUCCAAUAUAAUCCAAUCCAAGGAAGAUCCGACGACCACGUCGAACUAGAAUCUCACAGGGAAAGAUUGAUACUAGAAUCACAUGGGAGAAAGUGUAGAUGUCGGCAUACUAGAACCUUGCAUGGAAAUUCCAAUACCAAGAACAUAUAUAGAUCAUCUCCAUCGGAGGUCUUGUGGUUUCCACACAUAUCGGGGGAAUAAAAUCAAAUGACACUACAUAUAUUCGGUAUUUUACAACUAGAAAACCCUAGCUAAUUGUAACCGGAGCUCCCAAGGUACCAACUCAUCGGGGCUUCUAGUGCGAGGACGAUGCCGACCCAAUAUAAUCCUAUCGGAGAUCCGUUUUUGAGAAAGAGGGCAUGUACGUCUAGUUUGUCUACAUAAACCAUGUCUGAAGUGAAGUUGUGCACUCAUCAGAAGGUCCUGAUAGAGAAUACACUUUCUGAUAUCCUUGUUUGUAGAUUCAAUGUUUGAACUCCGAAACUCCAAUCUGCCAAGUUUGAACAGGCAAGUCUCUCGUAACGUUGGAAUUUCACUUUCAGUUCUGCAAAUAAUUUGGAAAAUGGUCAAAACUCUGUUGACCCGGAACUCUGUCGCCUGGGCUCUGAAUACUAGGUUGAAUAUAGUAGCACUCUACAUUAGCCCAUCAUCAAAGAUAGCCCUACUUCUCUUCACCUUCUUUCCAGUUCGACCACGCGUCUACCGCCUUCCAUUGCAAUCUCGCCCAAUCGUUAGGUCUGCUCCUCUGCCUCUCGAUUGGGGGAUCCCAUAUGGCGCACAGGUCGCCCGCAAGCGACCUGGCAUGCACCCCCCCCUCGUGCGUUGGGCUGUCGUACUGGGCGGCCCAUUUUCCACGUAAAACAAAGUUUAACGAUUCAAGAAAUCUUCAUUGAAUUCAAUUUUUUGUUCACCUAUUUCAAAAAUUUUCUUCAAAAUUCUAAAUUUGGCCAUUGAACUAAAAAUAUGUUCAUAAAAUACGAAUUUUGUUCAUAGUUUUCAAAAAUUGUUCAUUGAAUUUAAAUUUGUUCAUCCAUUUUUUCAAAAAGGAAAUAUUGAACAAAUUUUGUUCAUCAAGUUCAUAAAAGGUUACUCGAACUCAAACGUGUUCAUCAAAUACAAAAAUUAUUCAUCAUUAUUAAAAAUGCUCAUAAAAAAUUGUUCUUCAAAAUAACAAUGUUCAAUUAAAUUGAAAAAAUGUUUAUUCUUUUGAAAUCAUGAACAGUUUUUUAAUUUAAUAACGUUUUUUGAAAAUUCAUUUUUUUGAAAAUUUAGAAUCUUUUUGCAAUCGCAAAUUAUUUUAACAUAGAAUAAAACAAAAACAGAAAAUAUAAAGGAAAAGUAAAAACGAACAAAAAACAUAGGGCCGGUGCAACAGGGCGCGCGGGGUGGAGCUAUAGGCUGGGUUAUUUACUAGGAGGAUGGCCCGAGAAAAAAAGCCCAGGAACAGCCUACUGCCUAGACUGCUCGCCGGUGCCUCUCGACGCCAGCUGAUUGCCCUGAUCCCCUCUGCUCUACGCGUUCGAUCCGCCGCCAGCACCUGCCUCAGUGCCUCGCCCAGUCAUUUUCGCCGCCUCGCCGGCCCCUCCCGUCAGUCCCUGCCGGGCUGCCGACUGCAACGCCUUCGGCAGUACGGCACCACCGCGAAGCAGCGCCGGCGUCGGCGUGCCCAGCCACCCCUGCCAGCGCAAGGAGACCGCGCUUGACCUGACCAAGUUCGUCGACAAGGGCGUCCACGUAAAGCUCACCGGCGGCCGUCAAGGUUACUUCGUAAAGACGAAAACCCUUUUCUUUCGUGCUAAGCUCUGCACCAUCAGAUCCCCCCGUAGUUGUUUGUGUUAGCCACUUAGCCUGCUAACUGCCUCUCUGUCAUUGUCACAAGUGCGCUAUUUGGUGUAGGGUAAUCCUUACAGACUUGCUACAAAUGUUAUUGGCGCGAGUACGCGACUUGUUAGUUUGGUUUUUGUCUGAUUUAGUUGCUUCGUCUUGUGUUUCUUUAGUAUUGACGUGCUGUUGUCUUUUCAGAAGCAAGCAGAUUAAAAUUGCCACGUUAAAUUGUAACUGCUUGGUUGUCUUUUGAGAUUGAUCCUAAAACUUUAUUAGAAAAUGUUCAAUGUAUAUAUAACAAAUUUGUUCAUAUAUUAUACAAUAGUCUUCAGUGUGUAUUUAUAAAAUAAUUUUUGGUGUGUAUUUUCAACAAAUGUGACAUAAUAAAAAGUUCAGUAUAAAUUAAAAAUAUGUCGACAAUAUUGAAAAAAACAUAUACCGUUUAUUACAAAACAUAUAGUAUAAAAAAGAAGUGUGCAUAAAAAAAAUGGAAAACCCGAAGAAUACCCAAGAUCUGAAAAAAGAUAAAAGAAAUAUAAGAAUGAUUUUACACAAUAAUUUUUUAAUACACGUUUAACCUUAUUUGGAAUACACAUUGUCAAUUUUCUGAAUGCAUGAUGAACAUUUAAAAACAAAUACAUGUUCAACAUUUUCCAAAAGCGUUCUCAACAUUUUUAAAAUUUGCCAGAAAAUAAAUAUGCAUCAAAAUUUCCAAUUUUUUAGUAGAAGCAGAUAAAUAUAUUACUUACUGUACAUGGCAACAAAGAUAUCUGCAGGUAAAUAUACUACUUCAUACAGGUGGCCCAACACGCUUUAGGUCGCGGGUAUGAUAGCUCUGUGAAUCACGUAUUUUUUGUUCCAGAAUGUAGAUUAAUCUUCAGUUUGAAGAAAAACCAAAAUUACUGUCCUGGAGGGAGUACUUAUAUGAGAUAGAAAUAUGUGUGCCUCAACUUUUAUAUAUACAAAUAUGAGUUAGAAAUAUGCGCGAGCUCCUGUGUUCGAAUCACUUAGGCGCCAUUUUUGUGUGUCUAAAAAGAUAAAAGAAACUCAAAAACAUAUUAAAAACGAAACAGUCGUCCAUAAAAGAAACAGGGUAUAAGUUAGAGCAUAAAAACAAGAAAGCCUCAACUUUAUCACAUGCAAUUGUGUGGAGUAGUGGUCAACGAGCUUCUACCGCAUUCUGCGCGUCCAAGUUUCGAAUCCUGGCGGGCGAGCGUGUCUUUUAAUUUUUGGUGCCGGAUUUUUAGUUUUCCCUGCAAAUGAGGCCAUUUGUGUCACUAAAUGUAAACCAAGCAAAAGAACAUGCCACAUCAGUAAAUGUAAGCCAAGCAAAAGAACAUGCCACAUCAGCCCUUGACAGGGGAUCCUGCUGGUCAGUUUCCGUCAAUACGUGUUUAUAUGUGGUACCAAUCCGCUUGCACUACACCAAUCGUGGUACUUAUAUGUAACUAAACCACGCGCUUUAGAUCAUUUUGUAACAGCUUGACCUAAAUAUGGUACUGAUAUGCAAAAUUUUGAAUAGUGAUACUAAUUCGUUACAACUGUCUCAAGUGUUGUAUCUCGAUGAAAUUAACUCGGGGAUGUGGAUUGGGUGAGGAUGGAGGCCAACCAAAAGUGGCAGAGGACUAGGAACCUAGUGAUCUGCUACUGAAGCCGCAUGGAGAUGAGAAGAAGUUGUCCCGUUCAUCUAGGUGGUUCUCUAUUUUUUUACAGAGUAGGUCGUUAUCUCUAGCUAUGUAUUGUGGUCAGAUGGCAACCAAUCAUGGACUGAUGGGCUGCAGGCCAUGAUAGGAUUAGGGCUACUAAAAAGAAUGCAAUUUUGCUAGUGGGCCACAUGCCAGAAGGCCCCAGUGAAGGUCCGUCGUUAACUAUAUGAAUAUCGUUGCCAAUAUCUUGUUCUUUUUCAUAACAAUAGGGGAUUUUUGCAAUAUGCUCUACAUAUUACCAUGGAUACGCAAUUUGUUGCAAUAAACAAUAGUUAUUGCAACGCAAUGAAAUUGAGGCGAUAAAUAUAUACUAUUGUGACCAAUACAUAUUUUGUUGCAAUAUUUAGCCAAUUUUUGCAACAAUAUUUAUAACUAAUGCAACAUCAUACGGAUGUUGCAACAUCUUUCCAAAUAUUACCACGAAUAGUUAUUCUGUUGAAAUACCUAGUCUCUAUUGCAACAAACUAACUGGCUCACGCAAUGAAAUUUGUUUGUCGCAAUAUUGCUAGGUUAUUGCAAUGACACUAUAGUUUGUUGGAAUACAUAGCCUCUAUUGCAACAAAAUGAGUAUUUAUCACGAUAAAACUUUGUUGUGGCAGUACGUUGUUCCUAUCACCACAACCCAGGAAUUUGUGGUAAUAUUGUGUUCUAUUGCAACGAAACACAAUUGUGGCAAUAAAUUUUAUUGCAAUAGACCGGAAUCCUUGUAGUGUGACUUGAAAUAUGAUUUAUUACUUACUUAUUUAUAAGCCCCCAGAUGCUUUUUCUGCUAUUUUCGCAGUCCGGCAUUGCACCUUAGGGCAUGCCUCCUAGGGAAAGGAACCCUUAACGGAACUAUUCUCCCUGGAAGAUGUUUCUUACUAACCAUGUAAUAUAACAUAACUAGUUGGGCACUUGUCUAAUAAAGCAAUUAUGACCCUGACGCCUUGUCUCCAUGCAUGCCCCGGUUCUUUUAUAACCGUAGGGGUAUUCGGACACACUUCGGACUGUUGGGUCCCGAGGUUGAAGCGAAACGGUCUGCAAAGACAAAGAUCUACAAUCCGGCUAGAAGGCAUCUUACAUGUCAUUUCAAAUUACAUCAUCAAACCGACUGAUUGUACUCCUCCUCAAUCCCAUCUAACAGGCUGUCUAAUUUACAGUCCUGUUGGGAAUAUUUCGCGGCCAGUUCUAUUUGGCCAUACAUCAAGCUCACAGGGAUCUCCUUCCCAUCAGGCCCCGCAGGUCUGACCUCGGCCAUGUGGUUUGGGUCAGCCUUCGGGUAGCGCGUCUUCACCAUGGCCCAGGCCUCCCUGGCGCCCUGACGGCAUGCCGAUAUCUUCCACAAACGGAGGCGUCGCCGUGCUCCCUGGAGCUUCUCAGCAAGCUCACCAAGGCCCUCGGGUAGGGAGACGGAUGGCCAUAAAGCCUGAACGACGCCACUCAUCGCCUGCCGAACACGUUCGAACAAUUGCGCCAGCUCGGGAAGUUGGUCACCUGACCCAGGCAUUUCCUCCGCAGGGCGACCUGUGAGCACACCUAAAGACAUAUUUCUGUCAAACGACUUCCUCGCCGAAUUCUUCUUUUUCAAAGGAAUUUGCUCAAGCACUUACUAUAAAUGCCACGACGAAGUCGCUGAUUCUCCUUCAAGGAGCCAGACAGCUGGGCCCGAACACCUUUCAGCUCUUCUCCUAGCUGGGUGUGGGCAUCUUGGAGCUUGUUUCUCUCCUGUUGCACCUUCAUAAGCACCCUCUCGCCAGCCUUUAGCUGGCGCAGUAGCUGUUGCUUGUCCGGAUCUAGUCCGGCGCCCUCUGCAAUAUUAUUGUCAGAUUCACGCCGCACUUUGUUAAUUAAUUAUCUUUUCAAAGUACGUCUUACCAGCGGGGGUUUCUGUGGCUCCCCCUGUGGCGGCCAGUGCGGCCUCAAGUUGGGCCUUGCACUCUUGGAGCUCCUGGGACAGAUGGGUAUUCUUCUCCGUAAGAUCCUGCAUAAAAAUUGAUCCUUAAAUCAGUUGUUCUAACCAUUUUAAGUCUCGGGGGCUACUGGCAUAUAUAACUAUUAAAAUUACUUACGCGUAUGUCUUUCACAUACUGCUCCGUGGCUCUGGUUAACCCAUCUUGAGCGGCACGGAGGUGCGCGUUUCCCGCAUCAAAGGCAUUUAACGCCUCCGGGGAGAAACACGCGUCACAAAGAACUGUCCGGCGACGCCUGUGAUUCAUGGCGCUCUCCACCUCAGACCGGGUGGCGGACAGCCUGUCGGCAUCCUCCGUCGGAGGAGCGUCCGACUCAUGCCUUGUAUUCGCCUCCCCUUCCGGGCCAUGCAUUGGAGCAUGGCUGGCGGAGGCUUGAUUGGCAACCUCUCCGGACACUGUCCGGCGAGCGCUCUUUCUGGAAAAGUUAUGAGCAUUAAUAUACCUCCUGGGAAUCCUUCCCUUAAAAAAUAGCGGUGCUCCGUACCGUUGCAGCGACGUUUCAGUUCGCGUCGCACUCCUCUUCCGCCUGCUGGGCCGGACUGACCCUUGUUGGCCGGUCGCCGCGGGCUCGACUUCCUGCCGUAAAGGCGCUUCCUGUCGAACACCAUUGGUGCACGGUGGUCAGAACUAAGCAUUAAAGAAGUAACGGUGCCAGGACUUCGGUCGUACUCACCGGGGAAGCCGGACACAAACCGGGGUAGUCAGCCAUGAUGGCGACUAAAGCAUUAUCUAUGCUGAGCUGGUGGUACACCCCGUCGAUCAGUUCCACCGCUAAGUCUGGAUCCUCUUCGGAGGCCGGAUCAAGGGACCUUUCUGGGUCCUCGGGUUGUGGGGCUGGGCUUUUUAUGCCCUCCACAUCCCGACGCAGUUCGUGUGUCAAAAUCAUACAAUAAGACAAUUGCCUUUAAAGGCACGGUUCAGAUAUGCAUGCGACCGCUUACCCAGCUCCGAGGGUUGUUCAUGGAAAAUCCGUUCAGAGGAUUCGUGCGGAGGAAGUCCUCCUUCUCCCCCUUAUACAAGCCGGACAGGAUCUUCACCAGAUCGUCGGUCGAGCCAGGUCCCUUGCGGCCGUGACGGGUGGCGUCGUCGUCUCUGUUGAAGUCCCACAUGGGGUGGCCCCUAUAUUGGAGCGGCUGCACCCCACGCAUAAUGCAUGUGGCCAUGACUCCAUUCAUGGUUAAUCCGGAAUGGGCUAGCAGCCGUAUCCGGCCCAUCAAGUAAUGGACGCUACUAUCAUAUUCUCGUCGAGGGCUCCGUGGGCGCCAACUUAGGCGUUUCUUCAGGGGAGCGUUGCUGAACUCCGGAAGGCCGAUCCGGACUGGAUCCGGCAGCGGAGCGUCCUCCAUAUAAAACCACUCCGAAGGCCAAUCUUCGGACGUCUUCUUUGGGGUCCCGGACAGGUAUCCGGUCCCGGCGAUGCGCCAUAUUUCGGCUCCGCCCACUUGAUAUAUCGACCCCUCGUGAGAGCGGGGUACGAGGCAAAACGGCCUCUUCCACAGUGCAAAAUGGGGCUCAAUGCCCAAGAACAGCUCACACAGAGCUACGAAGCCCGCGAUGUGCAAAAUGGAGGCAGGUGUAAGGUGAUGAAGCUGGAGUCCGUAGAACUCCAGGAGCCCCCGGAGAAACGGAUGUAUAGGAAAUCUGAGUCCCCUUAUUAAGUAGGAGACGAAGCACACCCGCUCUCCUUUGGAGGGAUUGGGGGCGCUCUCCGCCUGUUUCCCACCUUUGUAGGUGGCCAGUCCGGCUCGAACCGGAACCAUGAAGGCCGGGGGAAGAUACCCCUCUGCUUGGAGCGUCACUAACUCGCUGUGCGGGACUGAGCAUUUCCUCCAAUCUCCUGGCUUAGGGCUGGGAGCGCGAGAAGAGGAGCCGCGUCGACUGUCCAUGUUGGAAUGGGUUCGUUGUCAGAUGCGCCUUGAUGAGUGCUUGCGGAAGGAGGAUGAUGUGAUUUGGAUCUGGAUCCUCGCCUCUCUUAUAGGCAGCUUAUUUGCGCAGCUAGGGGGUAAAACAUAAAAAUACCCUGGCUUUUCGCAUUCAUGCGACGCGUGGAAGAAGACCAUUAUUGGACACGGAAGCCAAGGAGCGCAACAUUUAUGAAGCAACCGGACACUAUCCGGCAAACACAUGGAGCAUGAAGAAGAGCCCGCCUUGCAAACGCCGAAGACAACAUACGCGCCGGAUUCGUCGUUAUUGAAGCCUGGUUCGGGGGCUACUGAGGGAGUCCCGGACUAGGGGGUGUCCGGAUAGCCGAACUAUCAUCAUCGGCCAGACUCCAAGACUAUGAAGAUACAAGAUUGAAGACUUCGUCCCGUGUCCGGAUGGGACUUUCCUUGGCGUGGAGGGCAAGCUUGGCGAUACGGAUAUGUAGAUCUCCUACCAAUGUAACCGACUCUGUGUAACCCUAGCCCUCUCCUGUGUCUAUAUAAACCGGUUGGCUUUAGUCCAUAGGACGAACAACAAUCAUACCAUAGGCUAGCUUCUAGGGUUUAGCCUCCUUGAUCUCGUGGUAGAUCUACUCUUGUAACCCACAUCAUCAAUAUUAAUCAAGCAAGACGUAGGGUUUUACCUCCAUCAAGAGGGCCCGAACCUGGGUAAAAACAUCGUGUCCCUCGUCUCCUGUUACCAUCCGCCCAGACGCACAGUUCGGGACCCCCUACCCGAGAUCCGCCGGUUUUGACACCGACAAUAGGAUUGAUGGCUCACCUUGUUAUCAAGGACAACAUCACCUCUGGAGGAUCCCUGGUAUCAGGCCAACCCUCCGGCUGGGCGGCUUCACCAUGACCGCCCGUUCGGCCGUCGGGCCGACAAUGACUUCUCGGGUCAUUGAAAAUCGCCUCCGCGUCAGCUCAGAAUACUCCGAACAGAUGGAUCCGACAGAGUUGUCGUCCUUAAAUGAACUCCUGGAUCGCAUCGCCGCCUUGAGAGUCGCUACGGGCUAUGAUCGGAUUGGGCUUAAACCCAAUCAGAGAGAAAUUGAAUCUACGCCGAUCACCCAUUAGAUAGCGGUAGUAGAGGAGCAAUGCGACAACUCUUCCACUAUAAUGAGGAUGAACUAUGUCCGGAUUUCUGAGCUUACUGAGCCAGAUACCUGCCUGCGGGAAGACGUGCCCCAUAUUCUGAACCUAGAGUCGGACCGUGGGCCGGAAAAAUUGGUCGAUAUCUCGGAGCCCGAACUGUUAAGCUCGGAAAUUCCUCAAGCUCCGGAUCCCAGAUUGGGCCAGGGUUCGGACUUAAAUCCGCCCACCCACCUAGAUACAAGCGAUCUUACCCACAUCAGACAGCAGUCCCAAGAGACGGUCCAUCACUUUUGGGCCAGAUUCUUCCUUGUCAAGGACAAGAUCAAAGACUGCCGCGAUGAAGACGCAAUCUCAUUAUUCUGCAAAAAUUGCAUGGACGAGGGAAUCCUGAAUGCCAUAAACCACCGCCACGUAUCACACUUCGCUGACUUGGCAACCAUAGUACAGAAGUACUGCGCAAUGGAAAGCACCUGGAAAACUCAAGUAGCCCCUUGGAAGCCACCGGUUUUCACUAAACUCCUCGUCUGGACAAAAAGGGUGCACCCUCAUAGGUCGCCCAAUUCAAUAACAAAAAAAAAA
Molecule: long non-coding RNA, 24350 nt
Filed under: Triticum aestivum (bread wheat)
Lineage: Eukaryota; Viridiplantae; Streptophyta; Magnoliopsida; Poales; Poaceae
Description: long non-coding RNA (TAES_LNC002324)
Rfam family: MIR1120/MIR1122 microRNA precursor family (bases 344-461)
Source: RNAcentral